AGACCGUGAUGAGGACACUUUUGUAAUAGCUCCUUGAAUCUUUCCCAAGUUUCAUAUAAGGAUUCCCCCUCGUCUUGUGAGUAUGUAUUAAUUUCAGUCAUUAACUU
RNAcentral lists this small nucleolar RNA (107 nucleotides) under Helianthus annuus (common sunflower). RNAcentral describes it as "Plant small nucleolar RNA R71". It matches the Rfam family "Plant small nucleolar RNA R71". From Rfam's summary of the family: R71 is a member of the C/D box family of snoRNAs containing the C (UGAUGA) and D (CUGA) box motifs. The record is from RNAcentral. Lineage: Eukaryota; Viridiplantae; Streptophyta; Magnoliopsida; Asterales; Asteraceae.